RNAcentral lists this non-coding RNA (221 nucleotides) under Felis catus (domestic cat). RNAcentral also lists the same sequence under 1 other name. The record is from RNAcentral. Lineage: Eukaryota; Metazoa; Chordata; Mammalia; Carnivora; Felidae.
AAUGCGCCUGCAUCUCGCGCUCCCGCGCGGAUCCCGGGAGCGUCCGGGCCGCCGUGCGCGAGCGAGGGCGGGGGCGCGCGCGCGGGGGGCGCGUUCUUGAGUGCGGGCCGCGCGCUCGGUGGCGCGCAUGUGCCUGUGUGCGGGCUGCCGGGCUGCCCCGAGCCGGCGGGGAGCCGGUCCGCUCCAGGUGGCGGGCGGCCGGAGCGAGGUGAGGCUACAGG